Long non-coding RNA from Oncorhynchus tshawytscha (Chinook salmon), 625 nucleotides. NCBI's taxonomy places the organism in Eukaryota, Metazoa, Chordata, Actinopteri, Salmoniformes, Salmonidae. The record is from Ensembl.
CCAGCAGAGGGAAACGGAGUGAAGAGAAAGAACAGGAACAAGACAUAAUAUGACAAUACAUGACACUAUAACUGAUUCAAGUAUUUUUAGCCAGACCCUAACUGGUAUGUUGAAUUUGAUGUUCCUUUUGAUGGCAUAGAAGGCCCUUCUUGCCUUGUCUCUCAGAUUGUUCAAAGCUUUGUGGAAGUUACCUGUUGCGCUGAUGUUUAGACCGAGGUAUGUAGUAUAGUUUGUGUGCUGUAGGGCAACGGUGUCUAGAUGGAAUUUGUAUUUGUGGUCCUGGCGACUGGACCUUUUAUGGAACACCAUUAUUUUUUGUCUUACUGAGAUUUACUGUCAGGGCCCAGGUCCGACAGAAUCUGUGCAUAAGAUCUAGGUGCUGCUGUAGGCCCUCCUUGGUUGGUGACAGAAGCACCAGAUGUCGUCUGGAGAUAGAGAGGAGGACCAAGAUGCGGCAUGAUAAAAUGAAGUGUUUCCAACUGAUAAAAUUAUCAUCAGACCAUGAUUCUAGACUACUAUCAUCAUCAUCAACACCACCACCACUAUCAUCACCAUCACCACCAGUAGAAGGGGAUUCAGGUUCAGCAGACUCUCUUUUUCAGGAACUACAGAACUAAGAUAAGAA